Molecule: unclassified non-coding RNA, 339 nt
Filed under: soil metagenome
Description: partial contains 5.8S ribosomal RNA, internal transcribed spacer 2, and large subunit ribosomal RNA
Rfam family: 5.8S ribosomal RNA (bases 1-120)
Source: RNAcentral
GAUGAAGAACGCAGCGAAAUGCGAUACGUAGUGUGAAUUGCAGAAUUCAGUGAAUCAUCGAAUCUUUGAACGCACAUUGCACCUCUCGGUAUUCCGGGAGGUAUGCCUGUUCGAGCGUCAUUUGUACCCUCAAGCUCUGCUUGGUGUUGGGUGUUUGUUCCGCCUCUGUGUGUGAACUCGCCUCAAAACAAUUGGCAGCCGGCGUACUUGUUUCGGAGCGCAGCACAUUUUGCGAUCCCGAUCAACGUACAGCGGCAUCCAAGAAGCCUUAUUUAACGCUCUUGACCUCGGAUCAGGUAGGGAUACCCGCUGAACUUAAGCAUAUCAAUAAGCGGAGGA